This is a non-coding RNA of Doryrhamphus excisus (bluestripe pipefish), 868 nucleotides long. The record is from RefSeq and is a predicted model, not a curated record. NCBI's taxonomy places the organism in Eukaryota, Metazoa, Chordata, Actinopteri, Syngnathiformes, Syngnathidae.
ACAAACACUGACACUGCCUGUCCUUUAAGUGAUUCAUCUGCUGUCUAAGUUUCACCUUUUCUUACAAAGAACACUAACAACACAUUUUGCAGUCCAGUGAAGCAGAUAAUGUGAGAGACAGCUGCACUAAAAUACUGGACAAUUCAGGAAAACUCCAAUGCCAAUCAGUUUGUUUCUCUCUUGUCGAGAAAUAAGAUGACCGUGCUUCUCCAUCACAGAAGAACCAGACCUGGGCUCACGGCACCAAGUGUGGGCUGCAUGCAUCCUUGUUGGUCACCAACUUCCCACCAGCAACACAAUCACCACCAGCAGCAGCACUGCAGGCCUGCUGACACAAGGUGCACUCACAGAAGCAUCUCCACGGCAACCAAGGCAAACUCAAGUUAUAAGCUUGAGAGGAGAAAUCCCCGACGAGGAGCCCGGUCAGGAGGAGAAGCCAGAGGUCCCGUCUUAGUCUGGCCAUUUUCCUAACGGUCAGCCUCCUCCUCUUCAUCAUCAUCAUCAUCGACCUCCCCAAAUCCAUCAUGUUGCUGUUAAAUAAAUCCAAGCUGGCUUCAAGCCUUCCCCCCACCUUGCCGCUCUGCUUGACUGAAGGGAGCGGAGGGGGGUAAGAGAUGACGGCCGCCCCCCCUCCUCCUUUUCUUCUUUCGUUGUUAUAUCUUUUCAAUAAAUAAAAUAAAACACUAAACCAAAAAAAAAAAAUGACGCCGCCACCCGAGGAUCAAUCGCGGAUAUUCCAGGCGCACAUGUCUAUGAUGGAGGAGCUGUGUCGGACUGGCGGCGUGAGAUGCAGCGCGCCACUGGUGUGAGAUGUCAUAGCAGAGGUGGAGGAGGAGGAAGGAUGGAGCGACUCAGUGAAGGUGAGGAG